This 460-nucleotide ribosomal RNA is filed under the name uncultured bacterium. Its description in RNAcentral is "partial 16S ribosomal RNA". It matches the Rfam family "Bacterial small subunit ribosomal RNA", at positions 338 to 795 of the family's 1533-position model. The record is from RNAcentral.
CCUACGGGUGGCAGCAGUGAGGAAUAUUGGUCAAUGGGCGCGAGCCUGAACCAGCCAAGUAGCGUGAAGGAUGACUGCCCUACGGGUUGUAAACUUCUUUUAUAAAGGAAUAAAGUGAGACACGUGUGCCUUUUUGUAUGUACUUUAUGAAUAAGGAUCGGCUAACUCCGUGCCAUCAGCCGCGGUAAUACGGAGGAUCCGAUCGUUAUCCGGAUUUAAUGGGUGUAAAGGGAGCGUAGAUGGGGUGUUAUGUCAGAUGUGAAAGUUUGGGGCCCAACCGUAAAAUUGCAAUUGAUACUGGCAGCCUAGAGUACAGUUGAGGUAGGCGGAAUUCGUGGUGUAGCGGUGAAAUGCUUAGAGAUCACGAAGAACUCCGAUUGCGAAGGCAGCUUACUAAACUGCCACUGACAUUGAUGCGCGAAAGUGUGGGGAGCAAACAGGAUUAGAUACCCGAGUAGUC